Long non-coding RNA from Megalobrama amblycephala (Wuchang bream), 2794 nucleotides. RefSeq lists it as uncharacterized. NCBI's taxonomy places the organism in Eukaryota, Metazoa, Chordata, Actinopteri, Cypriniformes, Xenocyprididae. The transcript is spliced from 3 exons. The record is from RefSeq and is a predicted model, not a curated record.
CAUGGAUAAAUAAACAAACAUACAUUUUCUUAUAAAAACUAAAAUCUGAAUGUUUAUUCUACUGAAAUCUUACUGAUAUGUCACUUGCAUAAUAAUUUGGAAUGCGGUGUAAAAUGAAAGUCAGUGAGGUCUAAUGUUGUUUUGGACCCCAAUGACUUCACUGUAUGGACAAAAACAGUUAAAACUACUUCAAGCACUGUCAUGCAGAACUCCACAGAAGUGGUGUAUAUUUUUUAAUAUAGUACAUGUCUCUCAUUCAUACUGGUAGUUUUAUUAAAAGUGAAAACUGCCUUAAAAAUAACAUGUGCAAAAGCAUUCAGUCCAGAGCUCUGCGAACUGUGUUCCUCUCAUUAUAAGCUAAAUGUGUGUUUCAUAAAUGAAUGCUGGCAUUAUAUUCAAAACCAUUACAUUUUUAUACGCUGUCUAUGUCUUUGAAGCAAUAAAUGUUUAUUUCUUGUAUAUAUUCUUGUAAUAUUUAGAGUAUUUGUAGCUGGAGUUUUCAAUGAAAUGACACAGACUCUUGGCCAUUUUUACAUGUUUACUGUUUUUUUUUAUUAUUCUGUUUGCUUUAUUCAAUUUAGUUUGCUUGCUUUUAAGGUUUAGUUCAUCUGAAAAUGAAAAUUAUUCCUCCAUAUAAAACAAAAGUAUGAUAAUUUGAUGAAUGUCCUAUAAAUACACACACACACACGCACUUACACUUAUAUUCAUCAUGUAUGCACCCACAUGUAAGACUUUCUAUCUUCUGUGAAACAUAAAAGGAGAUAUUUUCAGGAUUUUUUUUUUUCCAUGGACAAUGAAAUUAAAUGGGGUUCAGAAUUGUUUAGACCCCACAAAUUUUUCAAAAUAUCUUCUUUUUUUCUGCAGAUCAAAGAAAGUCAAACAGGUUUGGAAUGACAUAGUUAGUAAAUGUUUUUGGAUGAACUUUUAAAAAGGACAUCUUUGCUUGCUGCACAGGCCUAAAUUUAAGUCUUUUAAGGGAAAAAAGUAACAAUUGUGACUUUUAUGUAGCAUAAUUCGAACUGGUACAAAAAUAGGAUCAGAAACGGACUCGUCUUCAGGACUCAAACUAGUCAGGAUGUAUUUUACAGUCUUUAAGUUUGAAUCUGAAGGGAUGUGAUUGUUCUGAAGGCUCGCAGUAGAUUUAUCCACUGUUACAGCAGGGUGCUGUAAGCCCACUGUUACUGCCUGGGAGUCCCUGGUACAGCACGGAACAUCUCUUGUUAAGGCCUCCAGGCUCUCUCACUCACACACACACCAAUACGGCAAAAAUGUGCCAAUGUGUGCUCGAGAAUGCCACAGAACGGUUUUCUUCCCUCAAUCUCUCAUUCCUAACUCUUUCUGACCCGGCCCCAAGAUGUUCUUCAAGAGCGAGUCUCGUUUUUCUUCAGCAACAGCAGCUGGAAACAGUGCCACCUGACAAGCUGCCAGCUCUCACCGACCAGUUCCUCUGCUUCCUUCUGACAUGAGCGAAGGCCACGGCCCAGUGCUUACUCAGAAAAAGAGACCCUGAGGUACCAGACAUAGUGGGAUGGAACGGAUAAAGGAAUUCCAGACGUGUCUAAAGAUCAGGAGAUGCUACAGUAUGGAACUAACCCAAGGUGGACCGCCAUUACAUGAACAAAAGACUGGAAUUUCGGCCUAUCACAUCUCAUCUGAUUCAGCAGAAGUGGAGGUGGAGCUCAGAUUAGAGCGGUCGGACUUCAGCAGGCCAAAUGUGCGGCAUCAGCUAAUAAAUUUCAACAUCUGAACCAGCAUCUGCAUCAGAUUUGGGUCAGCUGCAUAGACUAAACAGGUGUCGGCUUUUCUUGCUCUGAUGAUUUUCAGUCUGAGAAAGAUUUGGGAGGUGUCCAGGGUUCCUCUGAGUGUGGGAGUACAACAUUUCAGAUGUAUAAUGCUGACAUCACUGUUAGAGCAUGAUGUCAUUAUUUAACAUCAUUAAUUGCGUUAUAUAACUGAGUUUUUGUUGUAUUGUCAUAACUAUGCAUGAUCUAAAUAGAAAGCCAUUGCAAUUGCAUGAUGUCACUAAAGUGAGUGUUCUGUGUACUGGAGAUGUCAUAUGCAAUUUAUCAUGUGUGCUUUUUCUCUCAAUGGCUAUGAAACCCUUUACUCCGAACAGUACAUUUUAAAGCUUUAUAAGGCAUAAUGCCAGUACUUUCAUUACUGAAAAAUAAACAUGAUAUGUUUCAUGAACAACGACAAUAAGUGUUGUUUACACAGCCACUCUCAUUUACUGUGUUUUAUCAUCUAUAAGUGACAGUAUCUUUACAACACAGUUACACUUCCUAAUAAAAGACAACGCUUCAAUAACAGAGUGUAGCUGACUGAUAUGGGCACACACAUCCUUUAAGCCCAAAAGAGAGCUGAUCUUAUGGAGACGGUUGAUUCUGAAUUGGGAAUAUCAAUUCUUUUUCCCUUCCUUUUUUUUUUCUUCAAUUUAUUCUUUACAUUAUUCAAACAUUAGCAGAAAUAUUUUAAGCAAUGAAAAAUGAAAUUAUAUAUAUUUGAAGGUCAGAUGAUGACGUGCCUUUAGUAAUGUAUUUUGUUUAUGAGAAAUUCCCAGGGUUAAACUUUACAAACCAUUUGGCUGGUGGUACUAAAACUGUCUAGCAAGUCACUACAAGAUGCAUUUAUAAACAGCUUCCAGACAGAGUGGUCAUCUUUGAAGGGCCUUUUUUCAGGUUUUGGCAACAACAUUCACACAAAGGAAGGUACUUUGGACAAAGAGAUUAGUGGACGUUGUGUAAAAAUGGUCAAGGUGCACUGCAUACUGAAGGGGCUCAGUGAGGAGUCAGUA